CCUACGGGAGGCAGCAGUAGGGAAUAUUUCUCAAUGGGGGAAACCCUGAAGCAGCAACGCCGCGUGGAGGAUGAAGGUUUUCGGAUUGUAAACUCCUUUUGUUAGAGAAGAUAAUGACGGUAUCUAACGAAUAAGCACCGGCUAACUCCGUGCCAGCAGCCGCGGUAAUACGGAGGGUGCAAGCGUUACUCGGAAUCACUGGGCGUAAAGAGUGCGUAGGCGGGAUAGCAAGUCAGAUGUGAAAUCCUAUGGCGUAACCAUAGAACUGCAUUUGAAACUGUUAUUCUAGAGAAUGGGAGAGGUAAGUGGAAUUCUUGGUGUAGGGGUAAAAUCCGUAGAGAUCAAGAGGAAUACUCAUUGCGAAGGCGACCUACUAGAACAUAACUGACGCUGAUGCGCGAAAGCGUGGGGAGCAAACAGGAUUAGAUACCCUUGUAGUC
This 440-nucleotide ribosomal RNA is filed under the name uncultured bacterium. RNAcentral's name for it is "partial 16S ribosomal RNA". It matches the Rfam family "Bacterial small subunit ribosomal RNA", at positions 338 to 795 of the family's 1533-position model. The record is from RNAcentral.